RNAcentral lists this ribosomal RNA (456 nucleotides) under uncultured bacterium. RNAcentral's name for it is "bacterial SSU rRNA". It matches the Rfam family "Bacterial small subunit ribosomal RNA", at positions 340 to 786 of the family's 1533-position model. The record is from RNAcentral.
UACGGAAGGCAGCAGUGGGGAAUAUUGCACAAUGGGCGAAAGCCUGAUGCAGCUAUGCCGCGUGUAUGAAGAAGGCCUUAGGGUUGUAAAGUACUUUCAUCGGGGAGGAAAAACAAAACUAAUAAUUUUAUUUCUUGACGUUACCCGAAAAAGAAGCACCGGCUAACUCCGUGCCAGCAGCCGCGGUAAUACGGAGGGUGCUAGCGUUAAUCAGAAUUACUGGGCGUAAAGAGCACGUAGGUGGUUUUUUAAGUUCAGAUGUGAAAUCCCUGGGCUUAACCUAGGAACUGCAUUUUGAAACUGAAAUACUAGAGUAUCGUAGAGGGAGGUAGAAUUCUAGGUGUAGCGGUGAAAUGCGUAGAUAUCUGGAGGAAUACCUGUGGCGAAAGCGGCCUCCUAAACGAAAUACUGACACUGAGGUGCGAAAGCGUGGGGAGCAAACAGGGAUUAGAUACC